GAUUCUGAGGCCUUCACACUCGGACUGGCAUCUACACCAUCCACAAUCUGCUCUCCUGCUCUCAGGCCUAUGAACUACACCACUGGCUUUCAGGGGAUCUCCAGCCUGCAGACAGCAGUGGGACAUCUCAGCCUCCAUAAUUACACACAAGAUUCAGAUGAGCUGGCUUAAGCUUCAGAAGUCACCUUGGACCAUGAGGUGAUCUUGAGAAUGGAAGCAAUCGUCUAGGCUACUCGUGAUGAAGAAUCUGCCGGAAGCUCUGGAGGACAGGUGCUCACUGUCUAAUGUUACACAGCUCUCCUCUCUCAACUUACUACCCCAGGAAAGGAAUUUUUUCCUGAGCGGGAGGGAGCUGAGGAAGUCUGGGCAAUCCACAACAGACCAUCUGAAAUCAUUUUCCCAGGCGGCGGAAUAAACACCUAGCCAGACGUUACAUUGUUUUUCAAAGAGGUGAGUCCUUUCUUGUUUCCUAACUGCCAUCUAAAAAAUUAUAAACAAAAAUGAAGCUGUUGAUGCAUGCAAGAAAUCCUAAGCAAGAAAUAGCUCUUCUUUUCUAAAGGAAGCAGUUGUGGAGGGUAGGUAGUGUAGGUCUGGGUGAGUUGUUAAAUAGUGGUUUUGAAAUCAAGGUCAAUUUUCUUUGGUAAUAAGGUAUAUGUAAAUCAGAAUUUCUGAGAUUACUACAAAAGAAAAAGAAGGUGGUUAAAGGA
Molecule: long non-coding RNA, 707 nt
Organism: Aethalodelphis obliquidens (Pacific white-sided dolphin)
Lineage: Eukaryota; Metazoa; Chordata; Mammalia; Artiodactyla; Delphinidae
Exons: 3
Source: RefSeq, a predicted model, not a curated record